GGGAAACUGGGUCUAAUACCGGAUAGGAGCUCCUGCUGCAUGGUGGGGGUUGGAAAGUUUCGGCGGUUGGGGAUGGACUCGCGGCUUAUCAGCUUGUUGGUGGGGUAGUGGCUUACCAAGGCUUUGACGGGUAGCCGGCCUGAGAGGGUGACCGGCCACAUUGGGACUGAGAUACGGCCCAG
RNAcentral lists this ribosomal RNA (182 nucleotides) under uncultured Actinomycetales bacterium. RNAcentral describes it as "partial 16S ribosomal RNA". It matches the Rfam family "Bacterial small subunit ribosomal RNA", at positions 151 to 334 of the family's 1533-position model. Lineage: Bacteria; Bacillati; Actinomycetota; Actinomycetes; Actinomycetales. The record is from RNAcentral.